Molecule: ribosomal RNA, 482 nt
Filed under: uncultured bacterium
Lineage: Bacteria
Description: bacterial SSU rRNA
Rfam family: Bacterial small subunit ribosomal RNA
Source: RNAcentral
GAACGCUAGCUACAGGCUUAACACAUGCAAGUCGAGGGGUAGCACGGGGGAAGCUUGCUUCCUUGGGUGACGACCGGCGCACGGGUGAGUAACGCGUAUCCGACCUACCCAUAACUCGGGCACAGCCGCUCGAAAGAGUGAUUGAUUCCCGAUAUGUCCUUGGAGUAGAUUCAAUGAUGAAAGAUUCAUCGAUUAUGGAUAGGCAUGCGCAUGAUUAGCUAGUUGGUGGGGUAACGGCUCACCAAGGCGACGAUCAUUAGGGGUUCUGAGAGGAAGGUCCCCCACACUGGUACUGAGACACGGACCAGACUCCUACGGGAGGCAGCAGUGAGGAAUAUUGGUCAAUGGACGCGAGUCUGAACCAGCCAAGUCGCGUGAAGGAAGACUGCCCUAAGGGUUGUAAACUUCUUUUGUAUGGGAAUAAAAAUAGAACGUGUUCUAUAUUGUAUGUACCAUACGAAUAAGGAUCGGCUAACUCCGUG